UACGUAGGGACCAAGCGUUGUUCGGAUUUACUGGGCGUAAAGGGCGCGUAGGCGGCAAUUCAAGUCAUCUGUGAAAUCUCCGGGCUUAACUCGGAACGGUCAGAUGAUACUGCUUUGCUAGAGUGCGGAAGGGGCAAUCGGAAUUCUUGGUGUAGCGGUGAAAUGCGUAGAUAUCAAGAGGAACACCUGAGGUGAAGACGAGUUGCUGGGCCGACACUGACGCUGAUGCGCGAAAGCCAGGGGAGCAAACGGG
Molecule: ribosomal RNA, 253 nt
Filed under: uncultured bacterium
Lineage: Bacteria
Description: partial 16S ribosomal RNA
Rfam family: Bacterial small subunit ribosomal RNA
Source: RNAcentral